UACGUAGGGGCCGAGCGUUGUCCGGAUUUACUGGGCGUAAAGGGCGCGUAGGCGGCAGAUCAAGUCAGCUGUGAAAUCUCCGAGCUUAACUCGGAACUGUCAGCUGAUACUGUUUUGCUAGAGUGCGGAAGGGGCAAUCGGAAUUCUUGGUGUAGCGGUGAAAUGCGUAGAUAUCAAGAGGAACACCUGAGGUGAAGACGGGUUGCUGGGCCGACACUGACGCUGAUGCUCGAAAGCUAGGGGAGCAAACGGG
RNAcentral lists this ribosomal RNA (253 nucleotides) under uncultured bacterium. RNAcentral describes it as "partial 16S ribosomal RNA". It matches the Rfam family "Bacterial small subunit ribosomal RNA", at positions 524 to 776 of the family's 1533-position model. The record is from RNAcentral.